GGCGAGGCUGUAACUGACGCUAAAGCUCGAAAGUGCGGGUAUCGAACAGGAUUAGAUACCCUGGUAGUCCGCACGGUAAACGAUGGAUGCCCGCUGUUUGCGAUAUACAGUAAGCGGCCAAGCGAAAGCGUUAAGCAUCCCACCUGGGGAGUACGCCGGCAACGGUGAAACUCAAAGGAAUUGACGGGGGCCCGCACAAGCGGAGGAACAUGUGGUUUAAUUCGAUGAUACGCGAGGAACCUUACCCGGGCUUGAACUGCAGCAGACGGAUCUAGAGAUAGUGACUCCCUUCGGGGCUGCUGUGGAGGUGCUGCAUGGUUGUCGUCAGCUCGUGCCGUGAGGUGUCGGCUUAAGUGCCAUAACGAGCGCAACCCCUGCGACUAGUUGCCAUCAGUCGAAGCUGGGCACUCUGGUCGGACUGCCACCGUAAGGUGUGAGGAAGGUGGGGAUGACGUCAAAUCAGCACGGCCCUUACGUCCGGGGCUACACACGUGUUACAAUGGGUGAUACAGAAUGUCGGUGCUGCGCAAGCCGCAUCCAAUCAUGAAAGUCAUCCUCAGUUCGGAUUGGGGUCUGCAACCCGACCCCAUGAAGCUGGAU
RNAcentral lists this ribosomal RNA (600 nucleotides) under uncultured bacterium. Its description in RNAcentral is "bacterial SSU rRNA". It matches the Rfam family "Bacterial small subunit ribosomal RNA", at positions 727 to 1331 of the family's 1533-position model. The record is from RNAcentral.